CACCGGGGAGAUGCGAUCAGGGCACCGGAUAGGGCCGGGCACCGGCACCGACGGGGAUGCGCGGUCUCGCCCUCAGAAGCCGCCUCAGGGUCCGGGCCCCGUCCGGACGGCCCGUGAGGGGAGCCCCGCUCCGAACCGAACCGAACCGAGCUCCUCGGCCGCGCCAGCGCCGUGAGGGAUUUUCGCUGUUUUAGCCAAAGUCCCGCCCGUGAGAAUCCCCCCACAUCCGCGCCCCGGUGUCGGAGCGGCCCGUGCGGCCCAGCGAGGAGGGAGGGAUGCGUGGGUUCGAUUUUAUCCUGGGCACGGGGAGCCUCCGUGCUGGGUUAGGGUGGUGGGAAAAAAAGAUGUGUCAGAGUUUUGUCAGAAAAUCAGUAUAAGCAGAACUGUCGCUCGUGAAAGGUCUAGAAAGGUCUGCUGAGGGAGCUGGGGGUGUUUAGCAGGAGAAAAGGAGGCUCAGGGAGAUCUCAUCUCAUCUCUCUGUGACUCCCUGAGAGGAGGGUGUAGCCAGGUGAGGACCCAUCUUCCUGCUGUGCCUGCAGAGGAGCCAAAGAUGAGACAGGGGCAAUUCAAAUUAGAUGUAAUAAAAAGUGUUCACUGUCAGCGUGGUCGGUCAGUGGAAUAGGUUCUUGCUCAGGUUCAAGAGACAUCUGAAACUGGUGCUGGGUGAUGUGGGUUACUGGGUUAGGAGUUACAGGGGCAGUGCUGGGCUGGUGCUUGGACAGGAUGGUCCUGAAGGUCUCUUCCAAGCAUGGCUACUCCAUGACUCAAUGAUUCUGGAGGCCUUGGCUCAGUCACAGAUCCAUAACUGAGCUGCUUAACUUGGUUCUCUGUAAGUCACUUCUGUGGGCUUCAUCCUAUGAGCAUUUGAGCACUGAAGUAAUUUCACUUCCAUGAGUCGUUCGAUAAAAUGAGCAAUCCUAUUUAUAAGUUAGUGAGUUGUAAAAUGUAAUUGGCACUAUACAGUCAUUCACUGUCAUGCCUUCAUUUGGGAGGAUGGCAUGCAGUGAUGUACGUGAAAUUUUGAGAUUUAUUUUUAUGAGAGGAUUUUAUUAUUAGUCAGAUAAAACCACCAAAAAAAUUUUUUCACAAACAUCUCAUCCUGGAAUGGCUCUGAAAUGAAGGCACAUAUCAAAGAGAAAAGCAGAAAUGAAAAUACAGAAAAUAACAAAAUUUAAAAGUUAUAUAAUUUAGAAAGUUGAUAAAGUGCAGUAUCUCUUUACAGUUAAGUUAAAUAGUUUUCAGGAAAUCUAGGCUUAAUCUAGAGUGUCUUUGCAUAUAUGGAACAGCAUAACAGACUUGCUUUUGUAUAUAACAUUCCCUAAUUAGUGAUUUUUCCAUGAUUGUUGCUGGACUAAAACCUGCUGGACUAAAACAAUUUCUUGUGCUACUGGUUUGUUGGUGUCUUGGGGGUUUUUUUUAACAUUUUAACAUAAUGAUUUACACUAUGUAGCUUUUUGUUAUUACAAGUGUGAAAAUGAGCAACUAAUUUCUGAAACUAAACUGUGAAGCAGCAAUGAAUGUCAGCCUUUCUAAGUAAGCACAGGAGACAUAUGGGCCCAGGUGACCCAAGUGGCAAUGUGGCAUAAUUUUUGGGACAUGAUGUCAUAGGCUGUUCUUUUAUAAGUUGCCCAGAUCUGCAGUCAUACUCCAGUUCUAGAUAUCACCUAAAAUGUAAAAAAAAAAAAAAGUGAAAUACUGUAGAUUCAAUACAAAAUGCUGCAACAAAGUAUUUUCCCUGCUUUUGUGUCACAGCACAGAUAACAGGAUUAAAUCUCAAUGCUCUUUGUAACAAAGGAGCAAAGCAAUAAUGCCCCCAGCCAGGGUGCUAAGCUGAUCCAACAACUUAUGAAACAGAAUAUAUCUUCUCUAAAAAUAAAAAUAAGUACUUCAAAGGGCAGAGGGCUCAUGAGGUGCUAGUUGUGCUCUGUGCCAGAUGUACAGAUGUGAAAUGCUGCAAAGACAAGCACAAUGGGAUGGGAGCCAUCGUCAGCAAAGGUGCUGUGGCUCUGGAAGCUUGUGCCAGAGCUGUUCCUCUUUGGAUACAAAAGUCAGGAGGACAAAAAAAAAAGUUGUGCAAAAGAAUGUGUAAACUAAUUGUUCACCCUGAGUACUCUGAAAAAGAAAAUCUUGUAUGUCCAGGCAUGUUUGCAUUGUCCAGGACAUUUGUACUUGCAUCUUUGCUUGCCCAGAAGUAAUAACAAUAGCUAACUUCACAGUAGGAUUAAUUGCAUAAAUGACUCACAGAAAAAAAAUAAAUGCAGGAUUCAGUCAAGAUGGACAUUUCACAUCGACAGGAAGCCAAAUUUUAGAGGAAACAUCAAUGAGGUUAAAAAUUAAUUUCUCACAAAUCUGAACAAUUUUUUUCUGGAUUGCUUUUGCUAUGGGUUGUUUAGUGUUACAGAGAAAUGAAAUAGUAAAGCUGGAAGAAAACUGACACACCAGCAUUUUGAGCAGGGCAACCUAAGAGAUGGCAAAUGACUUCAUAUUACAAGGAACUGGUGAGCAGUGGCAUCCUUAACACUGAAUUUUUGAUUAAAUAAAUAUACCCACUUCCACCAGAUGCUUUAUUUGAACAGUAUUAGCAUGACAAAAGAGACUUUAAGCCCACUCAUCACAGCACAGCAAUUAGUGGGGACUUUGGCCAAACCUGUUUAGCAAACAAAGGGGACAUGAAUAAAUAUCUUGCAAGAUUAAACAGAUUAGUUGAUAGAAAAAUUUAAUUUUGAAGUCGAAUUUCAAAUCACAAGAGUUAACAUUGGAAAGAAGUAUGUCCUUUAGCCAGAUAAGCCUCACCAAAUUCUUGGUCUCAGAAGAGAAAAAACCCUGUGUACGUGCUGCAGGGAUUAGCUGGCCCGAACUGUUCUCUGUUGUGCAGGAAUGCUUAUAGACAACCUCAGGCUGCUGUGGGAGAGCAGAGCCUCUCAAAUUAUCUCAGAAAGGGCGAUGUGGUAUUGCACAGGCCUCAAACAUUGGAUUCAAAUCGGUCCCAAUUGCUCCUGAAGAUAAACAUGCUCUCCUACACUGUCUGUCUUGGGGUUUGCAGUCAUGUGUACUUUCCCUGGAAAGCUGGAACAAUAACAAAGACAGUGUUUGUCAGCUUUAAUAAAGUGAUGUGCUCCUUGGAGCUGACUGUGGGGCACUGCUUAGCCUGUGUGCCUUUCUGGGGUACCAUUCUCUCUGCUGUCAGGGAAAAGCCUGAAAUCACAUAUAAAGACAGCACAGCUAUCAAAGAUUGCCACGUUUGGGUGCAUUUACCUGAUGUCACUAAAAAAUUGUGCAUGAAUUUUUAUGCCAUCUAUGUAUUUCAGAAAAACCCACCAAAGACAGUAACUGAUAAAUGCUGCUAUCAGCUGUUCUGUGCUGGAACAGAUUUGACAGCAGCCAAAUUAACUCCAGCAAUGCAGAGCGUAUUCCUGCAUCAACAGCAUUCCAAAUGUCAACCCAGGAUUUGGAAAAAAGAAACUUGCACAUGAAGAUACUUAACCAGUCCUACAGAUCCAAAGGGAGUUUGGACAGGAAUGAGUGGAUGAAUCACCAGCACUCAAAGUUAUCAUGGAACUACUUUUGCUAAAUCAAAGAUGGCAUUAGGAAGAAAAAGAAUAUACAGCUGAGGUAAUCACCACUGUGUUAGCAGAGGAGGUGAAGCUCCAGAGCCAAGCGUGUUUCUUGGGUCUGGCUGCAAAGAGAGGAGACUCAAUUCUCUGUCUACUCAAGAGGAAGCUCAGUAAAGGCAGGCAUCAAAGAAAGACCCAGGGGCACACAAGGAAGCACUCAAAGCUCACUGGGAGAAAAACUGAGGUGUUUUGUGAAGUAGCAAGGUGGAAAGUGCUUGCCCCUCACCUUUGGAAGGCACAUGAAUAAUGCAUGCAGGACAACAUCGUGUUCUCAGGAUAGCAAGGAGCUGUGUCAGCUUCUUCUGAGCUCUCCUGGAUAGAAGAUUUUUUUCAUCAAAAGCAAGGAUCCUCCUCAGCAACAAAAGCAACUGUGUGAGCACAAGCAGUGAACAGCUUGGAUUGGCCAACUGCUAUAAUUUUGGAUCAUUGAUGAUAAGAAGAGAUUCAGAAGCAGCACAAAAAGCAGCAGCACUUCAAACUGUCGAUUUUGGAAGAAGGUUGAUUAAACCAGUACCCCUGAUAUUUUCUCAUCCAGCUUCUUUCUUAACAUUAGGGGACAGAGUUGGGACCUCGAAUGAGGGCAAAUUAAAAUAAAAGGAAGCUUUCUUUGUCACAGUGCAACCUGCUUAGCCCACUUAGAGUCAACAAGCAAAUUGCAAAAAAGGAAAUGGCAAUAGACAGUUGCAGUGGUAUUUUUAAGAACCUAGUAGCAAGGGGAGAUCAUUCAGGUCCUGAUCAGUUCCAGCAGGGGGUUUUGCUUGGGCCUUUUUGAGGACAGUAGAAAAAGCAGCUUAAAAAAAACUUGAUUGCAUUCUGCAAUUCUGCAUUCUGCAGCAUUAACUUAAGUCAUUACUCCAGCAGAUCAGACGUUGUCAAAGCUGCACACCCCAGCAUGUGUUCAACACUGGGAGGUUGCCUGAAGCUGAUUCCCCAGACCAACAAUCUUUGGUUUAACUGAGCUGAAACUACAAUUCCACAUUUGUAAGAGCAGAGUCUGUAAUGGCAUCUAAAGGAAAAUUAAAAUGGGUCUUUGCUCAGAUUAAAGGCGGUGUUUUUAUCAGCACGGAAUAAUUUACGUUUGGAAACUUUUGCCCUCCAGGUGGGUAUGUCCAGCUACAUCACUGCUAUGGAUUAGAAGGAAUCCUUGAAGGAACAUAUUCCUCUUAGGAAGAAUGUUUGAAUUUUCAGCUAUGUUAGUAUAAACUCAGCUUCAGACAGGGUAUAAAUCUGAUCACUACAUUUAAUCUUGCCCUAGCACGGAAUAUGAAUCACGACUAAUGGGUGUGUCUCGGGAUAAGGGCUGUGAAUUCUCUACACAGAAAUUUACAACUGUGAUUAUUAUCAACGCAAUAAACACCAGCUUAUAAAUGCCUCAGCUGCAGAGCAGAGCUGCAUGGCUGAAGUCUU
Oenanthe melanoleuca is the source of this 5021-nucleotide long non-coding RNA. RefSeq lists it as uncharacterized. The record is from RefSeq and is a predicted model, not a curated record. The transcript is spliced from 4 exons. NCBI's taxonomy places the organism in Eukaryota, Metazoa, Chordata, Aves, Passeriformes, Muscicapidae.